AUGAAGCCGAACUUGUGGGAUUUUCCAUCAUUUGUUAGGAUGGAGUUUCUCAAAGUUAUAAUUAGAGAACUUUUUGGCGAUGAAGUAUUGAAGAACCAACUUGAAGGGAAUGCAGUGCGAGAAGAGAACCUCGCCAACUAUCUGAGGAAAGAGCUAUUUGAGAAGAGGUACUUUGUUGUUCUUGAUGAUUUGUGGAACAAAGAUGAUUGGAAUUGGAUCAAAACUAUUGCUUUUCCUAUUGGAAACAACAAAGGUAGCCGGAUAAUGGUAACAACACGAGAUGUUAGCUUAGCUGAGGAAUGUAUCCCUGAAUCUUCUAGGCCAUUUCUAUACCACCAUAAACCCCUAGAAACAGAAGAUGCCUUAAAUUUGCUACUAUUGAAGAGUAGAAAAAGUAAGGAAGACAUGAAAAAUGACGAGGAUAUGAGGAAAGUAAUUCCUAAGAUAGUUAAAAAGUCAGGAUGUUUACCCCUAGCUAUACUCACUAUAGGAGGCUUGCUUGCCACCAGAGCGGUUAGUGAGUGGCAAGGUAUUUAUAACCAAAUCCCCUUAGAGCUAGAGCAAAACAGAAGCCUUGAAGCAAUGAGGAGGAUGGUAACUCUGGGUUACAACCACUUGCCUUCUCAUCUUAAGUCAUGUUUUUUGUAUUUAAGCAUAUUUCCGGAGGAUUUUGAAAUCAGAAGGAGGCGUCUGGUAGAAAGAUGGAUAGCCGAGGGGUUUGUUAUAGCCAGGGAUGGGGUCAGCAUCGAGAAUGUUGGGAACGGUUACUUUAAUGAGCUAAUCAACCGAAGCAUGAUUAUGCCAUCAAUACCCAACAUAGAAGGAAUUGUGAAGAGCUGUCGAGUUCAUGAUAUCGUUUGCGAUGUCAUGAUCUCAAUUUCUAGAGAUGAAAAUUUUGCAUGCUCAACUUGGGAUAAUGCAACGGGCAUAGUAGGAGAUAACUUCCGCCAUGUAGCAUACCUGGGCAAUUGGAGCCCAAAUAAAGGCUUGGACUGGAAUCAUGUCCGAUCAUUAACUGUGUUUGGUGAGAGACCUGUGAAACCGGCACCUUCACUUUGUUCGUCCGACUUU
Molecule: ribosomal RNA, 1071 nt
Filed under: Triticum aestivum (bread wheat)
Lineage: Eukaryota; Viridiplantae; Streptophyta; Magnoliopsida; Poales; Poaceae
Description: partial small subunit ribosomal RNA
Source: RNAcentral